GCUAGAUCCACUGUAGACUCAUGAACCCUGUAAUCAAAUAUCACCUUCUUUCCUAGAAAUGCAAGAAACCAAACAAGCAAGUUUAUAAACAAUAAAGGAGAGGGUUCCGUUUCGCUUUUUCCGUUCUUUAUCAAAAUCAAACUAACUCAAUUAACAAUACAACUCGACUCAAAUAAGCCUUUGGGAAGACUCAAAUAAGCCUUUGGGGUCGGAUAAUUCGCUUUUUCCACUCUGAACUAUCUUGGGUUAAACCCUCAUAAAUGUGUAACUAACUCAAUUAACAAUAAACCAAAUAAAUUGAUUUAUGUUCUUGAUUACCCCAGGCGAAUAACUAAGCAGCAAAAGUAGUAAACAACACAAACAUAUUAGCAUCGCAAGUCUUUCUAAUAAAGGAAGAAGAAAAAAUAGCUAAAUCAGGCGUUUUAUUUACAUAGAUGGAUCUGUAACCAGUGAUUUAAAAGUCCAUCAUAAUCUGACAAACAUAAUCAUCAACAAAACAUCAUUCGUGCAUCCUCAUACAGAUUAAGAUGAGUUUAUCUUAACCUAAUGUGAAAU
Molecule: unclassified non-coding RNA, 555 nt
Filed under: Hevea brasiliensis (rubber tree)
Lineage: Eukaryota; Viridiplantae; Streptophyta; Magnoliopsida; Malpighiales; Euphorbiaceae
Source: RNAcentral